AGUGGCGGACGGGUGAGUAACGCGUAAGAAUCUAACUUCAGGACGGGGACAACAGUUGGAAACGACUGCUAAUACCCGAUGUGCCGCAAGGUGAAACCUAAUUGGCCUGGAGAAGAGCUUGCGUCUGAUUAGCUAGUUGGUGGGGUAAAGGCCUACCAAGGCGACGAUCAGUAGCUGGUCUGAGAGGAUGAGCAGCCACACUGGGACUGAGACGCGGCCCAGACUCCUACGGGAGGCAGCAGUGGGGAAUUUUCCGCAAUGGGCGAAAGCCUGACGGAGCAACGCCGCGUGAGGGAGGAAGGUCUUUGGAUUGUAAACCUCUUUUCUCAAGGAAGAAGUUCUGACGGUACUUGAGGAAUCAGCCUCGGCUAACUCCGUGCCAGCAGCCGCGGUAAUACGGGGGAGGCAAGCGUUAUCCGGGAUUAUUGGGCGUAAAGCGUCCGCAGGUGGUCAGCCAAGUCUGCCGUCAAAUCAGGUUGCUUAACGACCUAAAGGCGGUGGAAACUGGCAGACUAGAGAGCAGUAGGGGUAGCAGGAAUUCCCAGUGUAGCGGUGAAAUGCGUAGAGAUUGGGAAGAACAUCGGUGGCGAAAGCGUGCUACUGGGCUGUAUCUGACACUCAGGGACGAAAGCUAGGGGAGCGAAAGGGAUUAGAUACCCCUGUAGUCCUAGCCGUAAACGAUGGAUACUAGGCGUGGCUU
Molecule: ribosomal RNA, 700 nt
Filed under: uncultured bacterium
Lineage: Bacteria
Description: bacterial SSU rRNA
Rfam family: Bacterial small subunit ribosomal RNA
Source: RNAcentral